AUUCAGCCCUUCUAUUUCACACAUGCGGAAACUCGGGCUCUCGAGAAGUUGGUUCGUCCACCCAAACUUGCACAGCUAGUUAGAGACAGAUAAAGGCUAGGAUUUCUGGCUUCCAUUUCACCUCUAACCGCCUGUGUUGCUCUUGUGGCUUCAGGACCCUGUUGCCCGGCUCAGAUGAGGGGGCGUGCAGUAAAGCUAAGUACUGACCUCAGGCCUCCUAACGGAUAACAGUGGCUGGCACACCUGCUGCUUCACGCAGCCACAGCCUGACACCAGGGCCUGUGGUGGUGGCCGGAACGUGUGUACUUCCCAAGCCACAAGCGUUCCUCCUUACAGUGGUUGGAAUGGCUUUUCUUGUCCAGAGAACGUGACUUGGCUGUCCUGAAACCAGGCUUAGACUAGCCGUUAGUUAUUUUUUUAAUAGUGACCCAAGCCUUGCAUUAAACUUUUCUCAGCUAAGACGACAGCAGAAGGCAUGUAGCCUGAACCCAUGGGAACCCCUUUCAGCCCUUGGAAGGUCUUUUCAUGGUACAUAAAGACUGUGUAUGAAGGCAGCUCAGACUAAGAAGAUUGGUGCCCACCGCUGGCCUCAGUCAUCCUGCUGAUUUGAGAAGUCUGGAAUCCUUCACCUCUGAUUGUACUCGGAGCUAUAGCGGCAGAAGCGGCAGCUCUGCCCCCUGGUGGACAUAUGAGGCACAGCGCCCUUCUCCGAUUCCAGAAGCCCUGUCACGGUAGAGGCUAGAGGAGCAACCGUGCAAGGUAAAUCUUUUUCGUGGAUAACAUGAGAGUCACGGGCAGCAGUUUGUUCUUUCUGGUUGUUUCCGCCUCCAUAAAAUGAGAACCGCCUCACAGCCAGAGCAGUUUAGCAUCUUGUUCCUGGUCACUCAGUUGGUAAGUGGUAAUGUCAGGAUUUGAACUCAUGCCUGAGUCCAGAGCACCACACUACGCUGGAGCAGACCCUGUGGCCGAGAAGCUUGUGAGUAUUUUGCUGGAGUAUUUUGCUCCGGGAGCAAGUAGAAUGAGCAAUUGGUAAAUUGCCCUGUCGUGGCAUUCUAUGAUGUCACGUUGGCCCACCAGGGGGAAGAGCAGCGAGUCUCACGGGCGUGUGUCAGCAGGGAUUUGGCUGCAAGGUUGCACGAAACCGCCAUGCACGGAGUAUGAAAAACGCCUGGCUGUUUUAUGUAUGCACGCAUGUACGUCCUGUGUCUUGUGUGUUUGUUCUCCUUGUUGUAUGUUACAGGUGUUAUGGAUGCGUUGUGCGUGUUAUGUGUGCAUUCCGUGUAUGUGAGUGGGUUCUGUAAGUGACGGAGGCUUGCCUGGUGACUGAUGUCUUCAACAUUGCAGACCACACGCUCCAACAGCCCACCCUUACUCGGUGCCCACAGCGAGCCGGCCACUCGUCCUAGUGCUUCCCACUAGGGAAGCACUUCCUUCAUCUUCGCAACAGUCCUGGGCAGUAGCUACUAAGAGUAGCCUCACUUUAUGAAUGAGAAAGUGGAGGCACAGAAGGAUCAAUCAACUUGCUCUAGACCACCCAGAUAGUAAGAAGAGGGUCUGGGAUUGGAAACCUGCGAGGCUGGCCUCAAAUCCCCUGGUCUUUUUUUUUUUUUUUCUUUUUUUUUUAAUGUUUAUUUUUGAGAGAGACCGAGUGUGAGCAGGGCAGGGGCAGAGAGAAAGGGAGACAGAAUCCGGAGUAGGCUCCAGGCUCUGAGCAAGCUGUCAGCACAGAGCCCGAUGCGGGGCUCGAACUCACAAACCGUGAGAUCGUGACCUGAGCCGAAGUUGGACGCUUAACCAACUGAGCCACCCAGGUGCCCCCCCUUUUUUUUUUCCUUUUCUUAAUCGGUGCUCCCAGAUCACCAUGUGAAAGAUGAUAGAAUUGUCCUCGUGCUUCUGUGGGUGAAGAGCCUGUGAACCAAGUGACAAUCAGCACCUUCCAAUUAAACAUUAGCCACGGUGAGACAGGUGGCCAUUGCUGGCCUUACAGUGCACGUGUGAUUUCUUUUGUAAAACAUUUUAUUUUUAAGUAAUCUCCGCACUUAACGUGAGGCUCGAACUCACAACCCCGAGAUCAAGAGUCUCAUGCUCUACCAACUGAGCCAGCCAGGCUCAAUUUAAUGAUGUGUGAUUUCUAUCAAUUUAAUGAUGAUUAAGAGUUGAAAAGGAUUGUUGUCGAAAUCUUACAUUUCACACUUGUGAAGUCUGUACAGACAAAAUAGUUUCAUUGAUUUUUUUUCCUCUAAAACUGGGGACCACUUAGAGAGGCCCCAUAUCUAUGGAUCAGAUGUUCUCUGGCUCAUAAGGACACACUGAUUUACUUGAGGUAGGAUGACAUUUCCUCUCUUGUCUUUCUCCAGUUGGCCUUCCUGAGGCCUGGCACUUUGGAGUGGAAGAUAAAACGAAAAAGUCUCUGGCGAUGCCACUGAAGGUGGAGGAGGAGACUGAGCCCGUUACCGUAGCAACACAGGCCAAUGGUUCUCCGUCCGUCCGUCCGUCCGUCCAUCCAUCCAUCCACAAAUGAGUUUUGUCGAUGACAAAAACUCAGACGUGAACGAAAGAAAGUAGUUGCUUUUGCGGAGCAUCUGUUCCAGUGCAGAAAAGGCAUCAAACAACUAAAUAAACAUAGACACAAUAGAAGUCCAGACAGAGAUAAGGGCUUGGAGGAAAAUAAAGCAGGGAAAG
Long non-coding RNA from Acinonyx jubatus (cheetah), 2682 nucleotides. RefSeq lists it as uncharacterized. NCBI's taxonomy places the organism in Eukaryota, Metazoa, Chordata, Mammalia, Carnivora, Felidae. The record is from RefSeq and is a predicted model, not a curated record. The transcript has 3 exons.